CCUACGGGUGGCAGCAGUGAGGAAUAUUGGUCAAUGGCCGGAAGUCUGAACCAGCCAAGCCGCGUGAAGGACGAAGGUGCCAAGCAUUGUAAACUUCUUUUGUCAAGGGACAAAAUCAGGCUCGAGAGCCUGACCGAGGGUACUUGAAGAAAAAGCAUCGGCUAACUCCGUGCCAGCAGCCGCGGUAAUACGGAGGAUGCGAGCGUUAUCCGGAUUUAUUGGGUUUAAAGGGUGCGUAGGCGGACGGUUAAGUCAGCGGUAAAAUCCCGGGGCUCAACCCCGGCGAGCCGUUGAAACUGGAUGGCUUGAGAUGUCGAGAGGUAUGCGGAAUGCGGAGUGUAGCGGUGAAAGGCUUAGAUAUUGCGCAGAACACCGAUUGCGAAGGCAGCAUACCGGCGGCGAUCUGACGCUGAGGCACGAAAGCGUGGGUAUUGAACAGGAUUAGAUACCCGUGUAGUC
Molecule: ribosomal RNA, 459 nt
Filed under: uncultured bacterium
Lineage: Bacteria
Description: partial 16S ribosomal RNA
Rfam family: Bacterial small subunit ribosomal RNA
Source: RNAcentral